GAAAGGUCAAGGCCAAUUACAUAACCUGUUUGUAAGUCACAAGUGACCCCAUCCCACGAGCAGCAAUCAGUGCCCUCUUCCCAUGAGUCUGUUUUGGGAUAAUGAGCAUAUGGAGGGUAGUCGGAAGAGGCAGAACUGGUAAUGGAGAAAGAAUUUUUGAAUUGGAGCAAUGCAUGAUUUUGUUCAAGCUGACAAAGUACCAGUGAAAUGGAGGUAUUACAAGACAAAGAUAGAGAACUGGUGGCUUGAAA
RNAcentral lists this unclassified non-coding RNA (251 nucleotides) under Hevea brasiliensis (rubber tree). The record is from RNAcentral. Lineage: Eukaryota; Viridiplantae; Streptophyta; Magnoliopsida; Malpighiales; Euphorbiaceae.